UGGGGAAUAUUGCACAAUGGGCGAAGCCUGAUGCAGCAACGCCGCGUGAGUGAUGAAGGCCUUCGGGUUGUAAAGCCUGCUCUUUUGGGACGAUAAUGACGGUACCAAAGGAGGAAGCCACGGCUAACUACGUGCCAGCAGCCGCGGUAAUACGUAGGUGGCAAGCGUUGUCCGAUUGAUUCUGGGCGUAAAGGAUGCGUAGGCGGAUUUUUAAGUGAGAUGUGAAAUACCCGGGCUUAACUUGGGUGCUGCAUUUCAAACUGGGAAUCUAGAUGCGGGAGAGGAGAAUGGAAUUCCUAGUGUAGCGGUGAAAUGCGUAGAGUUAGGAAGAACACCAGUGGCGAAGGCGAUUCUCUGGACCGUAACUGACGCUGAGGCAUGAAAGCGUGGGUAGCAAACAGGAUUAGAUACCCUGGUAGUCCACGCCGUAAACGAUGAGUACUAGGUGUAGGAGGUAUCGACCCCUUCUGUGCCGCAGUUAACACAAUAAGUACUCCGCCUGGGAAGUACGAUCGCAAGAUUAAAAACUUAACGAAAUGG
This 540-nucleotide ribosomal RNA is filed under the name uncultured bacterium. RNAcentral's name for it is "partial 16S ribosomal RNA". It matches the Rfam family "Bacterial small subunit ribosomal RNA", at positions 355 to 912 of the family's 1533-position model. The record is from RNAcentral.